Macaca mulatta (Rhesus monkey) is the source of this 1079-nucleotide non-coding RNA. The record is from RefSeq and is a predicted model, not a curated record. NCBI's taxonomy places the organism in Eukaryota, Metazoa, Chordata, Mammalia, Primates, Cercopithecidae.
GCCCUCGGAGAUCACCUACAACCAGUGCGGAGGAAAGGAGCCUGCGCAGGUUUUGGCCCCAGGAAGUCGGAGCCCAGAGCAUGCUGGGAACUUGGGGUGGGCAGCAGGGCGGUCAGAGAGGGUGUCUGGGAGGCGUUGGGGUCUGUUGGAAGAAUUUAGGAGCGUGGAAGGCCAGACAGCUAAUAAUUCCUAGUCGAAGUCUGCACUUCGACUAUUGCCUUAGAGGAGGCAUGCUGGUUAGGACUGCGCCUUGGAGCCCACUUGACUUUUAACGGUGUGACAAUGGACAAAUUACCUGAACUUCUUGGGUACAGUACUUGAAACUACUCCUUGGAGAUGUUAGAAUAUUAAAAAGGAUCAGCUGUAUACUAGGCAGUACUAUUUAGCCGAAGCUUAGCUGGAAUCAGUAUCAUUUUAAGAAGCCCAUCCUGUUUAGCGAUUAAAGAGCACUGAUUGCUUCGAGAGUUCCAGAAGUGUUAUUGCUGGGUAGUGAGGCCAGGAUCCCCAGUAGCUUUCCUGAUGAAGACUUUAUAUGCUUAACUACAAAUAAUUUUUCCAAGUUCUGCACCAGAAAUUGGAUCUUGGGAGUUCAAGAGUCAACAGGUAUCAGGAAGAUUGAUGAACUCACAGAUGCACAAGAGACCGAUGCCAUCAUCUCUAGUGCCAAUUAAGAUAGAAGAAAUGCCGUCUGUCUUCAGUGCCUGGAGAACUCCCAUUUCCCAACCAGGGCACCUCCCAUUCCCUAAGCCAGGAUGUCAGGAAGCUGCACAGUCAAUAGAGACUUCUUCAUGAGCGUAAAGUCAGAGCAAAGGGAGGUGAAAUCAUCACAGAGAAAAGAUAUGGAGUUGAAAUCGCAAUGGCUUGAAGGCUCAGCAAAGGAGUGAUGAAACCCCAGGAGAGGUAUUGAUGGUGCCAGCAUUUAGAAGACACAACAAAUGUCACUGACAUUUCUGCCUCCCUCACAAGUAGCUUAGCAAAUUUGUCACAGUUGUGCCUUAAUACACAGAUAUGGACUAAAGUAUUAGUGUUCAUUCAACAUUGUAUGCUGGUCUUGGAGAAAUAAAAAUGAGUAAGAUGUA